Molecule: unclassified non-coding RNA, 352 nt
Filed under: soil metagenome
Description: partial contains 5.8S ribosomal RNA, internal transcribed spacer 2, and large subunit ribosomal RNA
Rfam family: 5.8S ribosomal RNA (bases 1-119)
Source: RNAcentral
GAUGAAGAACGUAGCGAAAUGCGAUAAGUAAUGUGAAUUGCAGAAUUCAGUGAAUCAUCGAAUCUUUGAACGCACAUUGCGCCCGCCAGUAUUCUGCGGGCAUGCCUGUUCGAGCGUCAUUACAACCCUCAGGCCCCCGGGCCUGGCGUUGGGGAUCGGCGGAAGCCCCCUGCGGGCACAACGCCGUCCCCCAAAUACAGUGGCGGUCCCGCCGCAGCUUCCAUUGCGUAGUAGCUAACACCUCGCAACUGGAGAGCGGCGCGGCCACGCCGUAAAACACCCAACUUCUGAAUGUUGACCUCGAAUCAGGUAGGAAUACCCGCUGAACUUAAGCAUAUCAAUAAGCGGAGGA